GACGUAGGGCGCGAGCGUUGUCCGGAUUUAUUGGGCGUAAAGAGCUCGUAGGCGGCUUGUCGCGUCGAAUGUGAAAACUCGGGGCUCAACUCCGAGCUUGCAUUCGAUACGGGCAGGCUAGAGUUCGGUAGGGGAGACUGGAAUUCCUGGUGUAGCGGUGAAAUGCGCAGAUAUCAGGAGGAACACCGGUGGCGAAGGCGGGUCUCUGGGCCGUAACUGACGCUGAGGAGCGAAAGCGUGGGGAGCGAACAGG
RNAcentral lists this ribosomal RNA (253 nucleotides) under uncultured bacterium. Its description in RNAcentral is "partial 16S ribosomal RNA". It matches the Rfam family "Bacterial small subunit ribosomal RNA", at positions 524 to 776 of the family's 1533-position model. The record is from RNAcentral.